Molecule: long non-coding RNA, 2270 nt
Organism: Rosa chinensis
Lineage: Eukaryota; Viridiplantae; Streptophyta; Magnoliopsida; Rosales; Rosaceae
Exons: 6
Source: RefSeq, a predicted model, not a curated record
UUAUUUUGGGAAAGAAAAAAUAAAUGUUUAGAUUCAACCUCUCUCUCUUCUCUAGCUCGAAGGCCCAGCGAAUCUCUCUCUCUCUCUCUCUCUCUCUCUCUCUCUCAUACACACAAACGCCGGACCUUCAAGAAACAGCCCAUUUCUUGAUCAUGAACAAGAAACCACAAAGAACGAAGAGCACUACAGCGUCAAGAAAGGGCUCCAUCAAUCCACAGAGCCCGAUCCUCUUGCUCUGCAGAUGCUCCCUCACAACCUCCGUUUUCAGAUCUCCGAUCUCUCUCCUCAGCGCCUUCUCCUUCUCCUGAAUCACAAAACCAUCAACUCCGGUCAUCAAUUACAGAAACAUAUCAGAAAUCGAAGAAAGUAAAUUGAGCGAGUUACCGUACCGUGGCAGCGUCGCGGUGGUCGAACGAAUGGCGGAUGACAGUUUGAGCCGAGAGAGAAGAAAAGCGACUUUGAUCUAGUGAAUUGCGGUUCUCGAUUGCAAAGCUUCGACGGGACUAAGGUUAGGGUUUCAGCCUCAAUUUCUCUCUCUCUCUGUCUCUCCUUCUUCUUCUUCACGAGCAACACCGGGAUUCCAAGUUCUCCGACUGGAAUCUCCACCGUACCAGCAAGUCCACAAGCUCCUCGAAUCAGCGCUGUUUCGAAACCUCAAUUUGGGAGGGCUAGUUUCUAGUGACGGAAGAAAUGGAAGACCCAAUUCCUUCUUCAUCAGCCCCUCUUGACCUCACCACCUUUCACAGACGAGUGCUUGGCCUAGAAGAGAUUCUCGAGCGAUGCGGCUGGGACGAUGAUUUCGAAUCACCUAUUGCAGAUUCGCAUGAUUUACUUAACGACAGAGCUGUAUUUCUUCGGAGUAGAGUUGAAAAGGUAGUAUCUGAUUGCUCUGACGUUGGUCUGUUAGGGGAUCAAGAUUUUGAAGCAUAUAUGGGACGUUUUGAGCAGGAGCUUAGCUCCAUGGAGGCCGAGAAUGCUAAGGUUUCCGAUGAAAUUUGAGGUCUAGUUCGAACCCAUGAGGAAGGUGAAGAUUUUAAUCGGCUCAAUGUUGAUAUUGGGCAGUUGAAAUGUUCAUUGGAUUCUGUUGGAUUGCAGAAGUAGAAGAUUGUGUGUUCUUUUUUGAAAGAUGGCAAACGAAAAGGGCUGCCCCUAUGGUGUGGAAACUUCAAUUUGAGGUAUAAUGGGCUGAACUUUUACAUCACAAUUUUGUUCUCAUGUAUCUACGUUUAGAUUCGAAUUGGCUGCAUUGGUAUGGAGUUUGGAAUUGAGGUAAGGGAUUUAGGGGAAGCUGAGAAAGUUGAGGUUUUAUUGCUAAUUUUGGUAUGAGUUUUGAUUAUGUUCUAUUUUUUAUCUAUCAUGAACUAAUCAUACUAUUAUAGGUGUAUUAUAUUCUUUUCCGAUGAUCUAUUGGCUCGCUUUGAGGAGGAAAAGCUGAUUUAACUUCUAAGUUUUAUUUAGAACCACUUUGCUGUCAUUCUCUGCGAUUUGGCAUUCACUAAGCUUUGUAAAAUUAAAAGCUAGACUUUUGGUUGAUGGAUUUAUAUUAAUUAAACUUUGAAGUGGAGAACUGUAGCAUCAAAAGUUCUCUUAGCUGCACCCUGAGCAUGAAGCAUGAGGUACAUUUAACUAAACAGUUAUGUAGAUUGGCAUUGCAAUGAAAAUGUAAAAGUAAAAAGUGUUUGAUUACACACAGACAUCCUAUGCCAAAAUGAAUGCUUUUAUGCCUCAAGGUUUUGCUUUUUACAAUCUUACUUUCAUUUCAUUUUUUGUUUUCAAUUUGUGUAACCAUAAAUUUAUCUAAAACAAUGCCUUUUGGUUAUUGAUUUGGAAAAUGAAAAAUGGAAUAACCCUUCACCAAGAAUGUUGGAUGCAACUAACAGUUGUAAACUGAUUUUCAUAGUCUUGCUUUUGGUUAGAUUUCUGCUCAGUCUGGCCUAUUAUAGUUUGCACAGUCAUCCACUAUUGUUGUGCAGGGACAUAUGUGUGAAGUGAUGGAAAAAAUCAUGGAAGUCUAGGUUGCUAAAGCUAUUGUUAGCAUGAUUGGUUAGUUUGGUAUUGAGUUAUACUCUGCAUAUCUUGUUGCUGAGAAGGAAGAAGGAACUGUAUAGAGGAAGUUGAUGGAGAGAAGGAAAUGGACAAGUACAAUAUGUUUCUAGCCUUGAUGUUUUUGGCCUUCAUGUUUAGGUAGGAUUAGUAUGCUGAUGUUGGGAUGAUGAUGUAAUCAACUGGUUUUGAAUGUUCAAUCAAUGGAUGUGUUUUUGAAUGUGUUA